Molecule: ribosomal RNA, 512 nt
Filed under: uncultured bacterium
Lineage: Bacteria
Description: bacterial SSU rRNA
Rfam family: Bacterial small subunit ribosomal RNA
Source: RNAcentral
AGAGUUUGAUCCUGGCUCAGGAUGAACGCUAGCGGCAGGCUUAACACAUGCAAGUCGAGGGGUAUAGUAGCAAUACUAGAGACCGGCGCACGGGUGCGUAACGCGUAUGCAAUCUACCUUUUACAGAGGGAUAGCCCAGAGAAAUUUGGAUUAAUACCUCAUAGCAUUGCGAAAUGGCAUCAUUUUGCAAUUAAAGUCACAACGGUAAAAGAUGAGCAUGCGUCCCAUUAGCUAGUUGGUAAGGUAACGGCUUACCAAGACGAUGAUGGGUAGGGGUCCUGAGAGGGAGAUCCCCCACACUGGUACUGAGACACGGACCAGACUCCUACGGGAGGCAGCAGUGAGGAAUAUUGGGCAAUGGGCGCAAGCCUGACCCAGCCAUGCCGCGUGCAGGAAGACGGUCCUAUGGAUUGUAAACUGCUUUUAUACGGGAAGAAACCCCUCCACGUGUGGAGGAUUGACGGUACCGUAAGAAUAAGGAUCGGCUAACUCCGUGCCAGCAGCCGCGGUAA